This 508-nucleotide ribosomal RNA is filed under the name uncultured bacterium. Its description in RNAcentral is "partial 16S ribosomal RNA". It matches the Rfam family "Bacterial small subunit ribosomal RNA", at positions 28 to 507 of the family's 1533-position model. The record is from RNAcentral.
GACGAACGCUGGCGGCGUGCCUAAUACAUGCAAGUCGAACGCUUCUUUCCUCCCUAGUGCUUGCACUCAAUUGGAAAGAGGAGUGGCGGACGGUUUAUUAACACGUGGGUAACCUACCCAUCAGAGAGGGAUAACACUUGCAAACAGGUGCUAAUACCGCGUAACAGUUUAUGCCGCAUGGCAUAAGAGUGAAAGGCGCUUUCGGGUGUCGCUGAUGGAUGGACCCGCGGUGCAUUAGCUAGUUGGUGAGGUAACGGCUCACCAAGGCCACGAUGCAUAGGGGACAUGAGAGGGUGGAUGGACAGACUGGGAGUGAGAAAGGGCAGAGACACUUGCGCGAGGACACAGUAGGGAAUCUUAGGCAAUGGAGGAAAGUCUGACCUAGCAACGUCGCGUGAGUGAAGAAGUAGUUAUGAUCGGAAAACUAUGUUGUUAGAGAAGAACAAGGACGUUAGUAACUGAACGGCUCCUGACGGUAUCUACCGAGAAAGCCACGGCUAACUCCGUG